UUCCACAGGCUGCCACCUUCACUGCUUAUCCUGCAACUCCCCAACUCCAGACCACACAGAGCCCAUGAUGGGACACAGUCAGCCUGUGCUCUCUAAUGAUGGACCUUUCAUGUAAGCUUUCGGGGGGGAAAGAAAGAGAAAAUAAGAAAAGAGCAAACUGAAAGACGCUUGGGGAUAACAAGGGAGUCUAAAGAGAUUCACCAGAGAAACCAGACUAAUGAACGCAGGAGGCUUCCCAGAGGACCCUGGGUUUUGCUGUCCAGGAGCCACAAAUAUUCACUUCACUCGACUCCAUGGCCCAGCACCUCCAUUCCAUGAGAGACAUGAUUAUUUCAGCAAUGAAACCUACCAAAUGUUAAAAAUGACUCACAAGGCAGCGAGCGGCACGGAGAUUGGAUUGUGAGAGCUUCGGGAUGGAAAAGGUGACUUUUGGUGGACUCCUCGAUGGCUCCUGGAUGGGUCCAGUCCCCAGAAAGACCAAGCCAUGAUGAGAAGCUCGGAAUUUUCAGCCCUCUCCCACCACCACCACCACCCCCCCCCCCAUUUUCCAGAAAGGGGAGAGGGGCUGGAUACGCAGUUAAUAAUUGAUCGUGCCUACGCCCCAAGGUAUGGAGUUAGGAGAGCUUCUAGGUGGGUGGACACAUCCACGUCACAUACUAGGAGGGUGACACAGCCCAAUCCACAGGAACAGAAGUUUCUGCGCUCAGGAUUCUCCCAGACCUCACCCUAGGUGCCUCUUCAUCUGGCUGUUCAUCUGUGUCCUUUAGCACAUCCAUUAUUAUAUAGUAAACAGGUGAACAUAAGUAAGUGUUUUCUGGAGUGCUGUGAGCUGUUCUAGGAAACAAUCAAAUCCAAGGCGGAGGACGUCAUGGGAACCUCUGAUGUGUAGCCAAGUCAGACAGAAGGUGUGGGUCACCCGGAGACCUACUACGUGCAGUGCCGUCUGAAGUAGGGGCAGUCUCAGGCAACUGAGCCCUCAGCCCGUGAGAUAGGGUGCUACCUGGAGGUAGAUGGUGUCGGAGAAUUGCUUGGUGCAGAAACCUGGCCGCACCUGGUGUCAGAAGUACUGUGAGUGUGACAGUCACGUGAGAGAGGAGGAGACACGCGGGAGGACAAGUGCAGGCUUCCUGCUCGGCCACAGCUCUGGAAUCUCACAGUGCCAGGCUGCCGUGGGACAGGGUUUCCUCUGGUGACCAAGUUGUCUGCUCGCAACGGGGCGCUGCCUACAAGACCCUUCGAGUCCCGUGGCCCUGGUGCUGCAGUGACAUGGGGCGCAGGCCUUUGGGACCAACUAAUUGCCUAAAUGUGGAAGAGUCAGAAGUGAAUUCCAGGAGAAAAAACACACAUAUAUCCAUUAGCAUCUUACGAUAUUCUCCCGCCUUACAUUACAACAUAAUGUCCGAGCUAUGCUUUUGCAAAUAAACUAUUUACACGUUAUGAAUUCCUCAUUCGAUACACUGCUGUCUACAACUCUGUCAUUAAAAUUAAUAUAAUCGGCUUAACACAUUGCAGCCAGACCGAUUUCCUGAAGGCGGGUUCAUCAGAUUAGUUCAGAGCUCAGAUCCCUCCAAAGGCUCCCCUUUGUCUCUGGAACGUAGUCCAGGCUCCUGGGUUUGGCGCCGGAGAACGUUCACAACCUAUUCCCUUCUGUUUUCAUCUCUGGCUUCCACAACCUGACACGGCCGGUCACAAGCCCAUCAGAGCACCACCCCCUGAAGUGUUGCCCUGCCCCCCUGCUGCCUCUUCACACCUGUCAAGCAUAACUCUUGGGUUCAUACCCUGAAAGGGCGGACAUACGCCGGCCGACUCCAUCUUGUUCUGUGUCCUCCACCUCGAGUGACUAUGUCCCCAACAUGCCCUCUUUCCGGGAAAAUGGCAGAAACCUCAAACCACGCCUCCUCCCCUUGAGUAACCUCCUGCUCACCCGUUCAAACUUCCCGAUCAAAACAUGCCCAGAGACCUGCCGACCGGGACUCCAACCCUUCCCCAGCCAAUCAGCUGAGGCCACAGCCAUUACCUCACCAACUGCCCCUAGACCCCUAUAAAACC
Long non-coding RNA from Prionailurus viverrinus (fishing cat), 2049 nucleotides. RefSeq lists it as uncharacterized. The record is from RefSeq and is a predicted model, not a curated record. NCBI's taxonomy places the organism in Eukaryota, Metazoa, Chordata, Mammalia, Carnivora, Felidae. The transcript is spliced from 3 exons.